UUCUCAAUGGCUCAAACUGACCAUCCUGAGCCAAUACCUGGGGCUUAGGAGAAGAUGAUACUGGCUGGCAGACCUGAAUCAUAUGGCCAGACUUGUUUGCUUUGCUUUUAUAAAAAACCCUAACCUGUCCUUCUGGCUGUGUUAUCACUGGGUUUGGUCUGAGAAGAGCCAAGGAGUACUCACAGAAGCCACCACAAUGUGAAAGUCAUGGGGCAGAACUCAGCCAGCAUACCAGAGACUUCCUUCAACAUGUAUCAACGGCUAUUUCCUUAACACCAUUAUGGAGGCUGCAAAGAAGUAUACAUCAUAGUCCCUGACUUCAAGGAACUUUUGAGCUAAUUGAGGAGACAAGAAUUAAAUGCACAAAAGUUUCAAUAACACUACAAGCUGCAAUAUAAGAGACACAUUAAGGCAGAAGAAUGCAUGAUUCAGUGUCAAAUAAGGUGUGCAGAUGGCACUGGGAGGGAGCUCGCUGUGGGCUACGUGCUCAG
Molecule: long non-coding RNA, 491 nt
Filed under: Homo sapiens (human)
Lineage: Eukaryota; Metazoa; Chordata; Mammalia; Primates; Hominidae
Description: non-protein coding lnc-EBF1-6:1
Source: RNAcentral